This 210-nucleotide ribosomal RNA is filed under the name uncultured Mesotoga sp. Its description in RNAcentral is "partial 16S ribosomal RNA". It matches the Rfam family "Bacterial small subunit ribosomal RNA", at positions 568 to 774 of the family's 1533-position model. The record is from RNAcentral. Lineage: Bacteria; Thermotogati; Thermotogota; Thermotogae; Kosmotogales; Kosmotogaceae.
AGCGUAGGUGGCCUAACAUGUCAACUGUGAAAACCCGGAGCUCAACUCCGGACUUGCAGUUGAAACUGGUAGGCUUGAGGACGGUAGAGGAAGACGGAACUGCCAGUGUAGGGGUAAAAUCCUUAGAUAUUGGCAGGAACGCCGGUGACGAAAGGUGGUUUUCUGGGCCGGGUUCUGACACUGAUGCUCGAAAAGCCAGGGGAGCGAACG